GCGUGAAUGGUUUAGUGGUAAAAUUCUCCGUUGCCAUCGAGCAAAAUCGGGGAGCCCUGGGUUCGAUUCCCAGUUCACGCA
This 81-nucleotide transfer RNA is filed under the name Stachybotrys elegans. It matches the Rfam family "tRNA". From Rfam's summary of the family: Transfer RNA (tRNA) molecules are approximately 80 nucleotides in length. Their secondary structure includes four short double-helical elements and three loops (D, anti-codon, and T loops). The record is from Rfam by way of RNAcentral. Lineage: Eukaryota; Fungi; Ascomycota; Sordariomycetes; Hypocreales; Stachybotryaceae.